GCUGUCUUUCAAAAGGCCCUCUGAACAGACACAACAUUGCACAGUGCUAAAGAGGAAGAGUUUAGAUGUUUUAAGCAGAGAGAGCCAGAGAGCAAGACAGAGUCAGGGAUAGAGAAAGAGAGAGAUGGGUGACAGAGUGGGACACUCUAAUUUGAAAGUCAGCUGGAAUAUAGACGCCAGGUGUCUAUAUCCCAAGGGAUUUGGGAGCCACCCAGGAGAACCAUUGACCUGAGGGCAGAAGGAACCAGGCGAGAUGCUUGUCAGUAACAAAAUUUGGUCACUAGUUGGGAAGAUGAAAUGACCAUUGUGAGUAUGGCCUGGUACAUUCAGGAGGCUGUGAGUAGAAAUUUAAAGAAGUCUUCAUAUAGUCUGCAACACUAUAGCAUAAGCAACACUGCUUGAUUAGUCACUCGUAGAGACAAAAAAAGGCAUUCUUCCUCAUUUCUCUAUUUCCCGGGCAUUUAGCAUUCCUGAGUUCAUUGUGUUCCCCUGAGCAAAGUAGUCGCUUCAUGGAUGACCACACAAUGCAACUGCAGCCAUUACUUGGUCUUUUGUAAAAGCAACUGGUAGGGAGGGGAGCUUAUGACCUCAGGGAUUUAAAUCUGGGAGAAGAUAGCCUUUUACUGCUGUGGCCCUCUUUUCAUCACAGGGCAUCUGCAAAUGAAGCCACUGUGAAGGACGGCAGACCUGAGAGAGACCUCAUUUGAGCCUCUGGAUUAAUAUCCCUCCUUGCGUCAACCAGUCUGAUGUGGAUUUUCUGACCUUUGCUACCAAAGUGUUCACAGUGGGGCCGAUAGUGAUGGAUUGGGUCAUUUUUUAAGCUAGAUUUCUCAGGGAAAACCUCUCUAAGCAUCUGGAAGUCUGUGGAUCAAGGUGCUAAUAGCGUACCAUUUCCCAGGGAUGGGGUUAGAGCCACUCAGUAUUUGAGGUGUGGCAUUUGCUCCUGUAAACUCCCAGGGCUAAGUUGUGCGAGAGCUCACAGAUGUGUUUUGCACUUAUGCACACUUCAUUUGUCUUCCUCCUAUGAGGAGUUGGUGGCUUACUGUGGGAACAGCUGAAUCCUCUCUCGAGCCAUAGUCCUGAGGUUCCUUUGAGUUCCAUGAUCUUCUGUUGUUGCCUUUUCCCGAUGAAACCAUGAAACACUGGAGAGCUACUUAGAAGGAUUGUGGAAGUGCGUACCUUCUAAAGCUGCACCUCUCCUGCUUUGUGUCAUACAUCCUACAUAU
Molecule: long non-coding RNA, 1226 nt
Organism: Neofelis nebulosa (Clouded leopard)
Lineage: Eukaryota; Metazoa; Chordata; Mammalia; Carnivora; Felidae
Exons: 4
Source: RefSeq, a predicted model, not a curated record